RNAcentral lists this ribosomal RNA (1397 nucleotides) under Klebsiella sp. JYX10. Its description in RNAcentral is "bacterial SSU rRNA". It matches the Rfam family "Bacterial small subunit ribosomal RNA". The record is from RNAcentral. Lineage: Bacteria; Pseudomonadati; Pseudomonadota; Gammaproteobacteria; Enterobacterales; Enterobacteriaceae.
UAGGCAUACCCGCACGUGGUAGCCGGAGGGGGAAUAAUUAACAGGGAAACUGCCUGAUGGAGGGGGAUAACUACUGGAAACGGUAGCUAAUACCGCAUAACGUCGCAAGACCAAAGUGGGGGACCUUCGGGCCUCAUGCCAUCAGAUGUGCCCAGAUGGGAUUAGCUAGUAGGUGGGGUAACGGCUCACCUAGGCGACGAUCCCUAGCUGGUCUGAGAGGAUGACCAGCCACACUGGAACUGAGACACGGUCCAGACUCCUACGGGAGGCAGCAGUGGGGAAUAUUGCACAAUGGGCGCAAGCCUGAUGCAGCCAUGCCGCGUGUGUGAAGAAGGCCUUCGGGUUGUAAAGCACUUUCAGCGGGGAGGAAGGCGUUAAGGUUAAUAACCUUGGCGAUUGACGUUACCCGCAGAAGAAGCACCGGCUAACUCCGUGCCAGCAGCCGCGGUAAUACGGAGGGUGCAAGCGUUAAUCGGAAUUACUGGGCGUAAAGCGCACGCAGGCGGUCUGUCAAGUCGGAUGUGAAAUCCCCGGGCUCAACCUGGGAACUGCAUUCGAAACUGGCAGGCUAGAGUCUUGUAGAGGGGGGUAGAAUUCCAGGUGUAGCGGUGAAAUGCGUAGAGAUCUGGAGGAAUACCGGUGGCGAAGGCGGCCCCCUGGACAAAGACUGACGCUCAGGUGCGAAAGCGUGGGGAGCAAACAGGAUUAGAUACCCUGGUAGUCCACGCCGUAAACGAUGUCGAUUUGGAGGUUGUGCCCUUGAGGCGUGGCUUCCGGAGCUAACGCGUUAAAUCGACCGCCUGGGGAGUACGGCCGCAAGGUUAAAACUCAAAUGAAUUGACGGGGGCCCGCACAAGCGGUGGAGCAUGUGGUUUAAUUCGAUGCAACGCGAAGAACCUUACCUGGUCUUGACAUCCACAGAACUUUCCAGAGAUGGAUUGGUGCCUUCGGGAACUGUGAGACAGGUGCUGCAUGGCUGUCGUCAGCUCGUGUUGUGAAAUGUUGGGUUAAGUCCCGCAACGAGCGCAACCCUUAUCCUUUGUUGCCAGCGGUUCGGCCGGGAACUCAAAGGAGACUGCCAGUGAUAAACUGGAGGAAGGUGGGGAUGACGUCAAGUCAUCAUGGCCCUUACGACCAGGGCUACACACGUGCUACAAUGGCAUAUACAAAGAGAAGCGACCUCGCGAGAGCAAGCGGACCUCAUAAAGUAUGUCGUAGUCCGGAUUGGAGUCUGCAACUCGACUCCAUGAAGUCGGAAUCGCUAGUAAUCGUAGAUCAGAAUGCUACGGUGAAUACGUUCCCGGGCCUUGUACACACCGCCUGCCACACCCAGGGAAUUGGUAACAAAGUAACUGUAGGCCUAACACAUGCAAGUCGAACAAGAGCGAGCUAGCCCA